Molecule: ribosomal RNA, 253 nt
Filed under: uncultured bacterium
Lineage: Bacteria
Description: partial 16S ribosomal RNA
Rfam family: Bacterial small subunit ribosomal RNA
Source: RNAcentral
CACGGGGGGAGCAAGCGUUGUUCGGAAUCACUGGGCGUAAAGGGCGUGUAGGCGGUCUGGUAAGUGGGAUGUGAAAGCCCCCGGCUCACCCGGGGAUCUGCAUUCCAUACUGCCAGACUUGAGUAUGGGAGAGGACAGGGGAAUUCCUGGUGUAGCGGUGAAAUGCGUAGAUAUCAGGAGGAACACCGGUGGCGAAGGCGGCUCUCUGGACCACAACUGACGCUGAGGCGCGAAAGCUAGGGGAGCAAACAGG